GGAAGUAAGAGUCGUAACAAGGUUUCCGUAGGUGAACCUGCGGAAGGAUCAUUAUUGUAUAACCGAGGUGCGAGGGCUGUCGCUGACCCGAAAGGUCGUGCACGCCCGAGUGCCCUCACACACAUCCAUCUCACCCCUAUGUGCACCACCGCGUGGGUCCCCCUUUGGCUUGUUCGGAGGGGGGCUUACGUUUUCACACAAACUUUGUAUGCAGUGUAGAAUGUAUUUUUUGUUUUUGCGAUCACGCAACCAAUACAACUUUCAACAACGGAUCUCUUGGCUCUC
RNAcentral lists this unclassified non-coding RNA (285 nucleotides) under plant metagenome. RNAcentral describes it as "partial contains small subunit ribosomal RNA, internal transcribed spacer 1, and 5.8S ribosomal RNA". The stretch from base 1 to 54 matches the Rfam family "Eukaryotic small subunit ribosomal RNA", at positions 1778 to 1831 of the family's 1831-position model. The record is from RNAcentral.